This 90-nucleotide transfer RNA is filed under the name Ameiurus melas (black bullhead). It matches the Rfam family "tRNA". Rfam says of the family: Transfer RNA (tRNA) molecules are approximately 80 nucleotides in length. Their secondary structure includes four short double-helical elements and three loops (D, anti-codon, and T loops). The record is from Rfam by way of RNAcentral. Lineage: Eukaryota; Metazoa; Chordata; Actinopteri; Siluriformes; Ictaluridae.
GGCUCUGUGGCGCAAUGGAUAGCGUGUUGAACUUCUAAGCUAAGCUUUGGAGAUAUUCAAAGGUUGUGGGUUCGAAUCCCACCAGAGUCA